RNAcentral lists this ribosomal RNA (253 nucleotides) under uncultured bacterium. RNAcentral's name for it is "partial 16S ribosomal RNA". It matches the Rfam family "Bacterial small subunit ribosomal RNA", at positions 524 to 776 of the family's 1533-position model. The record is from RNAcentral.
UACAGAGGUCCCAAGCGUUGUUCGGAUUCACUGGGCGUAAAGGGUGCGUAGGCGGUCGGGUAAGUCUGACGUGAAAUCUCCAAGCUCAACUUGGAAAUGGCGUCGGAUACUAUUCGGCUGGAGGAAUGGAGGGGAGACUGGAAUUCUCGGUGUAGCAGUGAAAUGCGUAGAUAUCGAGAGGAACACCAGUGGCGAAGGCGAGUCUCUGGACAUUUCCUGACGCUGAGGCACGAAAGCCAGGGGAGCAAACGGG